This 443-nucleotide ribosomal RNA is filed under the name uncultured bacterium. Its description in RNAcentral is "partial 16S ribosomal RNA". It matches the Rfam family "Bacterial small subunit ribosomal RNA", at positions 338 to 795 of the family's 1533-position model. The record is from RNAcentral.
CCUACGGGGGGCAGCAGUGGGGAAUAUUGGGCAAUGGAGGCAACUCUGACCCAGCAACGCCGCGUGUGCGAUGACGGUCUUCGGAUUGUAAAGCUCUUUAAGCGGGGACGAAGAAAGUGACUGUACCCGCAGAAUAAGCCUCGGCUAACUACGUGCGAGCAGCCGCGGAAAUACGUAGGAGGCAAGCGUUAUCCGGAAUGACUGGGCGUAAAGGGUGCGUAGGUGGUUUGGCAAGUUGGUAGCGUAAUCCCGGGGCUAAACCUGGGUGCUACUAACAGGACUGUUGAACGUGAGUGCAGGAGAGGGGAAUGGAAUUCCAAGUGUAGCAGUGGAAUGCGUAGAUAUUGGGAAGAACACCGACGGCGAAGGCGAUUCACUGGGCUGUAACUGACACUGAGGCACGAAAGCGUGGGGAGCAAACAGGAUUAGAUACCCGAGUAGUC